Molecule: ribosomal RNA, 561 nt
Filed under: uncultured Glomus
Lineage: Eukaryota; Fungi; Glomeromycota; Glomeromycetes; Glomerales; Glomeraceae
Description: eukaryotic LSU rRNA
Rfam family: 5.8S ribosomal RNA (bases 160-313)
Source: RNAcentral
GGAAGUAAAAGUCGUAACAAGGUUUCCGUAGGUGAACCUGCGGAAGGAUCAUUACUGAUUUAGCGAACCGAGCGUUAGCGAGGUUUUGCGAUCACUUAUAUUUAAAACCCACUCUUUGAACGUAUAAAAUUUUAUGUAUUAAUGAUAAAAAUAAAAGAUCACUUUCAACAACGGAUCUCUUGGCUCUCGCAUCGAUGAAGAACGUAGCGAAGUGCGAUAAGUAAUGUGAAUUGCAGAAUUCCGUGAAUCAUCGAAUCUUUGAACGCAAAUUGCACUCUCUGGUAUUCCGGAGAGUAUGCCUGUUUGAGGGUCAGUUAAAUAAAAAUCGGUGUUGUUACCGCUUUUCGUGGUGACGCGUCGGAAUUGAGUCGUCUUAUCUUCGGUUAAGUGACUUAAAAUUUUAUAUGAUUUUCGAACGUAUUUAAAUUUAUUUGAACGUUUGAUAUCGAAUGCUUUAUUAGGUUCGGUCAUCCUCAUGACUCGCGCCUAUAAUUUUUCAUUAAAUGACCUCAAAUCAGGUAAGAAUACCCGCUGAACUUAAGCAUAUCAAUAAGCGGAGGA